UUGUUUCAGCUUCCAUAUCAAGUAAUUCAUAACCUUUUUGACUUGAAAUACUGUAUUGUCGUUGUUGUAUUCAAUGUUGUUCUCUCAGAGAUGUUUAAAAGAAGCCACUGCCAAGCUUUUCAAUGGGUGAAGAAGAAGAAAAAAAACAGAGUGUAUGAAUUUCUGAAACUGAACACAGACCAUGGCAGUGCAGUAAUAAUAAAAACUCCACAGAUUUUGGGCUUUCGGAUUAAGCCUUUAGAUACAGAAUUCUCAUGGGAAGCUUAAGAGCUCAUUGUUGGAUGGAUGGUCCUGAUGGUGUCAUGAGCAGCAGCAGCAGCAGCAGCAGCAGCAGCAUCAUCAUCAGAGCACCAUAUAAAGGUAUGCAUUCAUGAGGUGUAAAAGGUUCAUAGUAUUAUGAUGUUUAAUGGAGCCGAUGGCAUUCAAAGUGUUUAUUUAGGCCUUUGUGUGAGUGAGGGCUAUCAGUAUGGUCUUCAAUGAAUGCAUUGAAUUAUAUUAAUGGGUUUGUUUGUUUGUUUGUUUGUUUGUUGGGAGGGUAUCAUCGGCCUAGUACAUGAGAUCGAUAUUAGAUCUUCGUGCUUGAUUUCUGACCUUUGAAGUUUGGAAUUUGAAAUUUGAAAAUUUUAUUGA
Cucurbita maxima (winter squash) is the source of this 630-nucleotide long non-coding RNA. RefSeq lists it as uncharacterized. The transcript is spliced from 2 exons. The record is from RefSeq and is a predicted model, not a curated record. Lineage: Eukaryota; Viridiplantae; Streptophyta; Magnoliopsida; Cucurbitales; Cucurbitaceae.